Molecule: long non-coding RNA, 2973 nt
Organism: Cyprinus carpio carpio
Lineage: Eukaryota; Metazoa; Chordata; Actinopteri; Cypriniformes; Cyprinidae
Source: Ensembl
UGCAAUCUUUCCAAAACACUCAGACCAGACCUUCAUGACAUCAUCUUUUUAUCAGCUCUCCUUACGAAACUUGUCAUUGAUUGCUGAUUCGUUGGCAUGUUUAUGAAUUAACGUUAUGUCAGUGUGAUACUGAACACCGGAGCCAGCUCUCUGCAGGAGGAUACUUAUUUCAUAUGAAAAGCUGUUUGGACUCUCAUUCUGACGGCACCCAUUCACUGCAGAGAUCCAUUGCUGAGACACUGAUGCAGUGCUACAUUUCUACAAAUCUGAUGAAGAAACAAACUCAUCCUAAUCUCGGAUGGCCUGAGGAUCACGAGCGGUGGUUGAUGAUUAACCUGAGAGCAGCUGUUUCCAGCUCAGACACCCGCGCUGACGAUGAUGCUGGGUCCGUCCUGUGAUUGACACGCCGGCUCGAGUAUCACUGCUGAAUGAGAGGCAGAUGGAGCUGAUGAUGGAGGCACAUUUACUCUGCAGAUCAAGCUGAAGAGCGUGGACACGUAUGGGAUGAUCUAUUAGCACUACUGUUGAUAAAACGUUCCUCAUCCCGAAGUAUUUUAAAAGAAAUAUCUUUUAAAAUAUCUGUCAUUGAAUAUUGAUUGAUUUAAACAAGUGUUUGAUUGAAAUCAUGGCAGAUAGAUGUGAUGUACAAACAGUCAGGUGUCAAGGUUCACAUUUUUCAUGAACAUGCAUGUUCCCAAGAGUCAUCAUUUUUAUUUUCUGGUCAGAGUGUUUAGUUAGUUUCCACUUUUUAUCGGCCAGCAGAAGUGAAAGUGGACAAAACUAAUAUAUAUGGGAAUACUGUUACAUAUAUAUGCAAUAUAUUAAAUAAGCAUUUCAAUAUAUGGGAAGCUACCGUAUGCUUCUUUUUUCAAUAUUUCAUAGAGCAUGUCUGGUUAUGUAUUGAUACAUAUAAAUAUAUAUGUGUGACCCUGGACCAUAAAACCAGUCAUAAGGGUACAUUUUUUGAAAUUGAGAUUUAUACAUCAUCUGAAAGCUGAAUAAAUAAUCUCUCCAUUGAUGUACGGUUUGUUAGGAGGACAAUAUUUGAAAAUCUGGAAUCUGAGGGUGCAGAAAAAUCUAAAUAUUGAGAAAAUUGCCUUUAAAGUUGUCCAAAUGAAGUUCUUAGCAAUGCAUAUUACUAAUCAAAAAUUAAGUUUUGAUAUAUUUACAGUAGGAAAUUAACAAAAUAUCUUCAUGGAACAUGAUUUUUACUUAAUAUCCUAAUGAUUUUUGGCAUAAAAGAAAAAUCUGUAAUUUUGGCUAUUGCCACAAAUAUACCCCAGAGACUUAAGACUGCUUUUGUGCUCCAGGGUCACAAAUAGCAAUGAAGACCAAAACUGCACUACAUUUUUUUUUUUAUUUUAUUUUAUUUUUUUUUUAUACAUGUGAUAGCUUUGUUAAAACUCAAUUCAUUUCAGUUUAUGAGUUAAUGCAUAGGUUUGCGGAACACAAAUUCAGAAACUUUUAUCUCACUUGAUUGUUUGUGUAGUUUCACUUUUCAUGUGCUAAAAUAUGUGGGAUGUAUGUAAGAAAAAUGGGUUAACUAAAAACAAAAACUAUCAUUUGUAAUAUCUAAAAAAAAAAUUAGGAUUUUUGCACACCACUUAUUCAAUUAAAUAUUAAAAUGUCCUGAUUAUGGACAACUGGAUGUCUUGUUACAACAUAAUUAGAGUAUUGUGUAUAAUUAAUAAAAUUAAAUAUAAAUUAUUUGUAAAUAAAUUAUAACUUCAUUAUUUAAAAAAAACUAUAAUUGUACAUACAUUUCAUCAUUUCAUCACAAAUUGUUGAUCCAUCGAAAUUCCAUAGUUCAAAUAUCCACUGUUCAAAAGUGUGUAUGUCAAAUACAUUUGACAACACACACACACACACACACACUUAUUUAUUUGCUUAUUAAAUGGCUUCAGAAGUACAUGAGACUCAUUUGACUGCAUAAUUUCUAUUAAUGCACCACUUAAACCAAAAGAACACGAGGUGAAAUAUUUGAUUCCAUCCUCAAGUUAUUAAUAUGUAAAUGGAGAGUUAAUUUCGCAUUAACUGUGCAUUUCUAAUCUCUUAUUGCGUCACAGAAAUAAUCGACCCUAUGUGUUUCAAAAGACACUCUUAUGAUGGUUGCAUCUUCUUACGCUGCUGAUGCUGUGGGAGGAUGAAUGCACUGCAAUUACAGUUAUGCAAUUAAUAAUUAGCUCAUUUAGCUUGUGUUACAGGAAGGCAGCUGAAGGGACAAGGAGAACAAGCUUGCGGCCUUGAGCUUCAGUAAUCAGAAGGGUUACAUAAGAAACAUCCUGCAGCACAUCUAAACAUUAAUGUGCGAGUCCUGCAGAACAUCUGCGUGCUUCUCAAAUAAGUGAGUCACUCAGACAGGAAAAUCAACGUGGAUGGAAGGAAGUGUCUGAGAGAUUUCUGCAGAAACAUGCCCUGGCUUUUGUUGAUAGGCUUGCAUAACUCGAAUAGGAUUUGUUGACUUAUUCAGAAUUUACAUUACAAAGUGAAAGCGCAAUAUUUUGAAUAAAGGUUUGGCAAACAAGAGCGUCUGGUGAAUGUCGACUGCUUUCGUGCCGAAUAAUAGGCUUGUUAUUUCACUCCAUAUGAAAGAAACGGUUCUGCUCUAUUAAUCCUGCAACAAUUUGCUUUCAUAUCGUAACAUCCAGAGAACUCUGAAAGGUUCAGUUUCUCUUUAUUAAUCUUUAGUCUUUGUAUCAAAACAUACAGUACAUCGAACACACACCCACACACCUCAGAUUUCACACCAAGAUAUUUGUUCCUUUGCCUUUUGUUCAGUCUAAUAUUAGCAGGUGUGUCAUUUUUAGUCAUGAAUAUUUUCUGUGAUAUUUUAACACUCUGUCAGACACAAAUUAAUGUUAAAUGUGACUAAUUAAUGACAUCAGUCCACCUUGUUGCAAUUCGCUUUGAAUGUUUUUAGUGUUUUGCUUUUGUUAGGCGGGAUUAGGAGGAUCUAGUAUUGUCUAAUAUUUG